GUGCCAGCCGCCGCGGUAAUACGUAGGGGGCCAGCGUUGCUCGGAAUUACUGGGCGUAAAGGGUUCGUAGGCGGUGCGGCAAGUCGGGAGUGAAAUCUCUGGGCUCAACUCAGAGGCUGCUUCCGAAACUGCCGUGCUUGAGUGCGGGAGAGGCGAGUGGAAUUACAGGUGUAGCGGUGAAAUGCGUAGAUAUCUGUAGGAACACCCGUGGCGAAGGCGGCUCGCUGGACCGCAACUGACGCUGAGGAACGAAAGCUAGGGGAGCAAACAGGAUUAGAUACCCUGGUAGUCC
Molecule: ribosomal RNA, 292 nt
Filed under: uncultured bacterium
Lineage: Bacteria
Description: partial 16S ribosomal RNA
Rfam family: Bacterial small subunit ribosomal RNA
Source: RNAcentral